CGGGCUAUGAACGAGACGUUUAUUUCUCCUUUUGAUGGUUCUAGUAAUUAGGAACGCGUAUAUUGCUGUGUGUAGUCUUUGCCUAUCGAGCCCACGAUAGGCUUUUUUUUUA
This 112-nucleotide small RNA is filed under the name Photorhabdus asymbiotica. RNAcentral describes it as "RprA RNA". Lineage: Bacteria; Pseudomonadati; Pseudomonadota; Gammaproteobacteria; Enterobacterales; Morganellaceae. The record is from RNAcentral.